UUUUGCUAAAAAAAAAAUAAAAAAAAUUCGUUAAGUCCAAAUCUUGGCGCUUAACCGUGGUGACCCAGGAAGGAGUAGUUUAUUGGAAAAUGGGAAUCCGCCCCCAAAAUAUUGUCAAUUCAAGUUCCCACCACCGCCAUCAGCAUGGACCCUAAUCCAAUGGCAACUGCUGACUAAAAACCCGUUAUUUUCUUCUCAUUAAUUUAUUCAUUUCCCCAAUUCACCACUUUCCCCAACUUGUUUCUCUUCUCUGCCCCCAAACUUGAUUUAGGGUUUGGGUAUCCCGCCCCCCCUCCCCUCCUCCUUCCUUCUCUCUCUCCACACUCAACGACUUCGUCGCAGUUCCUCAAUAACCUUUUCGAUUCCCUCAGAAGUCGUAGUCCCUGCAGCUCAAAGUUUCAAUUUUUCUCAAUCCCCUUUCCGGCUCUUCUCCUUUUCAGAAACCCUAAGUUCUCAUUAUUGAUUUAUUUCGCGUUGGAUAUCUUGGAUUGUUGAUCUGAUCGGCUUGCAUUCGUGUUGAGGAGAAUUCUUUCGGAUUGUUCGAUUGGCGAAUUCUGGUGGAGCUGGGAUAAAAAGGAAAAUCUUUAUUUAGUGGCUAUUUUCAAAGAUUUCCUCAGGUGCCUGUUCUGCUGGAUAUAGCCGUAAAAAGGUUCGGAUUUUUUAUUUAGGCUGUGUUUAUUUCUAAUAGAUUACCUUAUUGCUGCAACUAGCACAUUCCUUUCAGUGAUUAGGUUGUGAUUUGUUUUAUAUAUUUACUGAGGAGUCUUUGAUCCAAAUCCUCUAAAUUGUGUCCCAGAGGGGUUCCUUUGAUUUAUGUUAUAAUGAUAAUGAUGCCUGUCUGACCAAAGGAAGGUUCUUGUA
This is a long non-coding RNA of Arachis ipaensis, 861 nucleotides long. RefSeq lists it as uncharacterized. Lineage: Eukaryota; Viridiplantae; Streptophyta; Magnoliopsida; Fabales; Fabaceae. The record is from RefSeq and is a predicted model, not a curated record.